RNAcentral lists this unclassified non-coding RNA (307 nucleotides) under uncultured fungus. Its description in RNAcentral is "partial contains small subunit ribosomal RNA, internal transcribed spacer 1, and 5.8S ribosomal RNA". The stretch from base 1 to 73 matches the Rfam family "Eukaryotic small subunit ribosomal RNA", at positions 1759 to 1831 of the family's 1831-position model. The record is from RNAcentral. Lineage: Eukaryota; Fungi.
CCAAACUUGGUCAUUUAGAGGAAGUAAAAGUCGUAACAAGGUUUCCGUAGGUGAACCUGCGGAAGGAUCAUUAUUGAUUGAUAAAGGAUGUGCUGGCAAAAAAAUUCCAUUUUUUGCAAUGUGCACUCCUGAAAUCUUCAUCCACUUUGUGCACUUUGUAGACAAAGUUGCCUUUUGUGACUUCUGUCUAUGCCUUUUUAGUACACAUUCAUCCGUUAUUAAAUAAUUUCUGACUGGCUAAAGUCAAAAUUUUGAUACAACUUUCAACAAUGGAUUUCUUGGUUCUCGCAUCGAUGAAGAACGCAGC